RNAcentral lists this ribosomal RNA (252 nucleotides) under uncultured bacterium. RNAcentral describes it as "partial 16S ribosomal RNA". It matches the Rfam family "Bacterial small subunit ribosomal RNA", at positions 100 to 354 of the family's 1533-position model. The record is from RNAcentral.
CGGGGUGAGUAACGCGUGGGCAACCUGCCUUAUACAGGGGGAUAACAGCUGGAAACAGCUGCUAAUACCGCAUAAGCGCACAGCGGCGCAUGACGCAGUGUGAAAAACUGAGGUGGUAUAAGAUGGGCCCGCGUCUGAUUAGCUGGUUGGGAGGGUAACGGCCUACCAAGGCGACGAUCAGUAGCCGGCCUGAGAGGGUGGACGGCCACAUUGGGACUGAGACACGGCCCAAACUCCUACGGGAGGCAGCAG